CUUAAGUAUAAUACUACAGAGUGUCCGCUGGUAUGUCGGGAACCUCGUCAACCAAGUCCUCUCUUCAAGGUCUUCUGACUGUCGCACUUAUGCUAAACCUUGAGCGCCUUGUGAUCAUAAACAAUUACAGUUACAGUGGGACAGAGCUUAGUAGCCUUGGAUAAUGUACCACAUGCUGCUUCACCAAAUCUCCAGACAAAGACAGGAUUAUCUGGCCACAUGAAAAAGCCAUUUGCCCUGUGACUGGCUGGCGAUCAGUCCUCAGCUGGCAUAGUCUCCAGCUCCAGCUCCAGCUGUCCCUAAUGAAGACAAGCGCUGUGGAAAAUGGAUGGAUGGAUGUUUGGGAUCAUUUUAUUUUUUUGUUUUUGCUGGCGCCCGACCGCCUCACAACUGCAUGCUCACCGGUGAAGAUUUCCCUCCCUAGAUGAGAAGCUUCCUCAAUGGGGGCCUUUUGUUCACUGCCGCUCCUCUUCUUCUCCUGCGGCAUGAAAGCAGUGUGGCUUGGCGAUAUUAUUGACCGCCGACAUCUAAUUGGAAUCAGCUAGAAUGCGCGGCGACCAAUGGGGGGAGCCCGUUUUACUGCUCAGCGAGCAUCAGACAUGGAGGAUGAGACUCAUCAGCACACUGUGGUGAGCUAAGGUUGUUUGUGAGAGGCUUGCUCGCUCAGUAACGUGAUGACAUCACAAGGAAUUUCACACAUUGCCGGAGCGUUUGAUGCAGCUGGGCAUCACUGGUGGAAAGUAGCCGAGGACAAAUACUUCGUUACUGUACUCAAGUAACUUCCCCUCAAGUCUAUUAAAGGCUGCAAAUGAGCAUCCCGCAUGUGCGCUCGAGCAAGCCGAGUAUCAACUAAGCAGACGCAGUCGCCGCUCGCAGGUUAUUACAUGCUGUCAUUGUUUAAUUCCUGCUCAUUAAAUGCUCCAGACAAUGAAAAAGCACCUCCUUCUCGUGACAGCCUCUUUGUUAACCCUCUUAUCUCGUUCCCGCCUCCCAUUCUCGUUUCUUCGCUCUCUCUUUCUCCGCUGAGCUUCUGUGCCUACUGUCUGACACUCAAGGACCAUUUGAUGGCGUUUCCGAGCUGCCGUUAAAUAUCGGCAUUCAUCUCCCGAGUGAAAACCCGCAAGAGAGGGAAAACUUUGAACGAUGGCGGGGACAAGGUGUGGAAGCCUUGGGAUGUCACACACUGCUAACGGAACGGCCUUAGUGACAGAGGUAUCCCUUCAUGUAGACGACCCACUUGUGAGAGCACACGUGUUUGUUAUGUUGACAGCGCUGGCUCAGGAGUGGAGAGGCAGGACACCCCCCACAGUGCUCCCGCCCUGUGACCCCCUCUUGGGGGCAACAUAUCUGCGACUUGAGAGCAGACACACAACUCUCUAAACCAAUGAGAGAGUGAAGAGCGGGGACCCUCCAUCUGUUGGCCGUGUGCAUGCCUUUGUGCGCACGCAUGUCCGCUCGGGUAAUCAAAGCACCCCUGAUGAGCUCUCAUGGCACACUGGGAUGUCAUGACACCCAAGCAAGGUAA
This is a long non-coding RNA of Phyllopteryx taeniolatus (common seadragon), 1525 nucleotides long. RefSeq lists it as uncharacterized. The record is from RefSeq and is a predicted model, not a curated record. Lineage: Eukaryota; Metazoa; Chordata; Actinopteri; Syngnathiformes; Syngnathidae. The transcript is spliced from 6 exons.